This 377-nucleotide ribosomal RNA is filed under the name uncultured bacterium. Its description in RNAcentral is "bacterial SSU rRNA". It matches the Rfam family "Bacterial small subunit ribosomal RNA", at positions 521 to 896 of the family's 1533-position model. The record is from RNAcentral.
UAAUACGGAGGGUGCGAGCGUUGUCCGGAAUCAUUGGGCGUAAAGGGCGCGUAGGUGGCCCGCUCAGCGUGCGGUGAAAGCCUGGGGCUCAACCCCGGGUCGGCCGUGCGAACUGGUGGGCUCGAGCACUGUAGAGGCAGGCGGAAUUCCGGGUGUAGCGGUGGAAUGCGUAGAGAUCCGGAAGAACACCGGUGGCGAAGGCGGCCUGCUGGGCAGUAGCUGACACUGAGGCGCGACAGCGUGGGGAGCAAACAGGAUUAGAUACCCUGGUAGUCCACGCCGUAAACGAUGGGCACUAGGCGCUUGGGGGAGCGACCCCUCGAGGGCCGUAGCUAACGCAUUAAGUGCCCCGCCUGGGGAGUACGGCCGCAAGGCUG